This 497-nucleotide ribosomal RNA is filed under the name uncultured bacterium. RNAcentral's name for it is "partial 16S ribosomal RNA". It matches the Rfam family "Bacterial small subunit ribosomal RNA", at positions 28 to 507 of the family's 1533-position model. The record is from RNAcentral.
GAUGAACGCUGGCGGCGUGCCUAAUACAUGCAAGUCGAGCGAACGGACGAGAAGCUUGCUUCUCUGAUGUUAGCGGCGGACGGGUGAGUAACACGUGGAUAACCUACCUAUAAGACUGGGAUAACUUCGGGAAACCGGAGCUUAUACCGGAUAAUCUUCUGAACCGCAUGGUUCAAAAGUGAAAGACGGUCUUGCUGUCACUUAUAGAUGGAUCCGCGCUGCAUUAGCUAGUUGGUAAGGUCAAGGCUUAUCAAGGCAACGAUGCAUAGCCGAACGGAGAGGGGGAUCGGCCACCCGGGAACGGGAACACGGUCAUGAGGCCUGCGAGAGGCAGCAGUCGGGAAUCUUACGCAGUAGGGGAAAGCCUGACGGAACAGCGCCGCGUGAGUGGUGACGGUCUUCGGAUCGUAAAAAUCUGUUAUGAGGGAAGAACAUAUGUGUAAGUAACUGUGCACAUCUUGACGGUACCGAAUCAGAAAGCCACGGCUAACUACGUG